Molecule: long non-coding RNA, 545 nt
Organism: Lycium barbarum (goji berry)
Lineage: Eukaryota; Viridiplantae; Streptophyta; Magnoliopsida; Solanales; Solanaceae
Exons: 3
Source: RefSeq, a predicted model, not a curated record
CAAAAAACUAGAAGAAAAAAAAUGAAGAAGGAGAAAAACGGCCAAGAGGGCUGGCCAAACCAGCCCUAUUAUAUUGAUCAUGAAAAAAUUGUUUCUUCAAGCUUUCAUAUCAAUUGGAAGGUCCUCGUCAACGUGGAGUAGUUGUUAGAGCAAGAAAACCGCUCGUUGUUGCGUUUCAUCAAGCUAGCCGAGAGGAAAAGUUGAAGAAGAAGACUAGCAAGUUUGGACGGAUAAGCGUAGCUAGUAGGGCGCGGCACAGGUACGCCCAGGUGAGUUGAAGGCAGUAUAGAAGAUGUUCCAGUGCAGAUGGCAAGCUCCAUUUGUUCCCGGAGUGCUGCCGAGUCAGGGUUUGUAUGUUAUGCUUUCUGGACUACGUUAGAGACUUUGCAGACAGCGUCGUGGGUAUUGGUUGUCAAUUUGUAAGCGGCUCCGUCAGCCGAUGUGUCGGUUUGUGUCAUGUACUGAAUUUUGUAUGAUCAUAGAUUUGUUCGGCUUGGAAGCUACGAGAAAGAAUAUUUCAAAAAAAAUUACUAUGUAUUUUACCU